ACAUCAUUGAGGGGCGCUGGUGUGACACUGAAGCUGCAGGUGCCACCAUUCGUGUACCCAGAGUUGGAAAGAGGAAAUGAGACAGAAUUCCUUGACACGCUGAAGGACAUGGAUGACGCUAACCGGACUGUCCUGCAGCGAGGACAGCAGAAGGACCAGUAUAUGCAGCUGCUAUACUGAGGAAAGAGUCAGGCUGAGGAGAGCUGCAUAAAGAGCGAUAAGGAGGCGAGAGUUGGCAUUCCUCGAGUCACAGGCUGAAGAAACUGUGUUAUUUGAACCUAAGGAGUGUUUCACCAGAGAGGCCAGUACCACAGCCCUCUACAGAGUCUGAGGUGACAUCCAUCUAUGUCACUGCUGGAAAACCCAGAGCGGCAGAAGUAUCGGCAGGGUUGAACCGCCCAGUGGAUAAAGAUCGGCCAGAACCAAAAUCCCCACCACAGGUAGAAGCCCUCAGCACUGUGCAGCCACCAGUGGUAAACCACCCUCCAGUGGGUAAACGUGCCCCAACACAAGUGAGGCCAGUACCUCCGAGGAGGCCUACUGAGUCAGUCUCUACAUCGGUCUACAGCACUGUAGAGAAACCAGCUGUAGCACAUCGCCACCCAGUGGACAAAUAUGGGAAUAAUCUCAGCCUACCGGACACUGUGUACUGCACAUUAGGAGAAUUUCCUCUCCCUCCAUCUCAGUGAUCGCUCCACACAGCAUUGACUAUGACUGACUUUCCACACUUAGAUGCUAAAGAGUAGAAUACCGAGAUGGUGAAAGAAUAAUUAAAGAAAUACAGUUAAGUGAAGAUCAAACCCAAGUGGUGAACAUGGGACAUGAGACUGGGAAGUGAA
This is a long non-coding RNA of Esox lucius (northern pike), 839 nucleotides long. RefSeq lists it as uncharacterized. Lineage: Eukaryota; Metazoa; Chordata; Actinopteri; Esociformes; Esocidae. The transcript is spliced from 3 exons. The record is from RefSeq and is a predicted model, not a curated record.